AUACGUAGGGAGCGAGCGUUGUCCGGAAUUACUGGGCGUAAAGGGCGCGUAGGCGGCGCUUCAAGUCGUCUGUCAAAUGGGAGGGCUUAACCCUUUUUCGCAGACGAAACUGGAGAGCUUGAGAAGCAGAGAGGCAAACAGAAUUCCUGGUGUAGCGGUGAAAUGCGUAGAUAUCAGGAAGAAUACCAGUGGCGAAGGCGGUCUGCUGGCUGCAUACUGACGCUGAAGCGCGAAAGCCAGGGGAGCAAACGGGAUUAGAUACCCCGGUAGUCCUGGCAGUAAACGAUGUAUGCUGGGUGUGAGACUAGCGAUAGUUUCGUGCCGAAGUUAACGCGAUAAGCAUACCGCCUGGGGAGUACGGUCGCAAGAUUGAAACUCAAAUGAAUUGGCGGGG
This 394-nucleotide ribosomal RNA is filed under the name uncultured bacterium. RNAcentral's name for it is "partial 16S ribosomal RNA". It matches the Rfam family "Bacterial small subunit ribosomal RNA", at positions 523 to 918 of the family's 1533-position model. The record is from RNAcentral.